This 446-nucleotide small RNA is filed under the name Pongo abelii (Sumatran orangutan). RNAcentral describes it as "processed transcript". The record is from RNAcentral. Lineage: Eukaryota; Metazoa; Chordata; Mammalia; Primates; Hominidae.
AACGCCUCAAACUUUUCUAACCAUAAAAGUAAUUAUACUGGUGAGAAAUCCUAGAAAUCUGAAGAGUGAGAUAAAGCCUUUAAAUGGUUGUCACACUUGAUUGUAGGCCAGGAGUGGUGGCUCACGCCUGUAAUCCCAGCUCUGGGAGGCCAAGGCCAGUGGAUUGCUUGAGCCCAGGAGUUUGAGACCAGCCUGGGCAACAUGGAAAAACCCUACCUCUACUAAAAAUACAAAAACAAAAAACACCUCACCUGGGUGUUGUGGUGCACGCCUGUAAUCUCAGCUACUCCAGUGGCUGAGGCAUGAGAAUCCCUUGAACCACGGAUGCAGAGGUUGCAGUGAACUGAGAUCGUGCCACUGCACUCCAUCCUGGGCAACAGAGAGACUCGGUCUCGAGGAAAAAUAAGGCAUUUUUCUAAUUUAAAUAAUAGUAUUCCAUUAUGUGU